This 826-nucleotide unclassified non-coding RNA is filed under the name Hevea brasiliensis (rubber tree). Lineage: Eukaryota; Viridiplantae; Streptophyta; Magnoliopsida; Malpighiales; Euphorbiaceae. The record is from RNAcentral.
GUUUAUUUUCUCAAUAGCUUAAGGGCUAUAGAUAGGGCUACAAGGACCACAUAUAAUCCAACUUUAGUUUUUAGUACAAAUAUAAUUGAAAAUUUUUCUUUAUUUUUCUCUCUCCCUUUUGGUGGAUUCAUAUGUUUUAGUAGCGUAUUUAUAUCUCUGAAGUGCCCUUCCAUCAUGGUAACUAGGUUGUUUUACAUCUACCAUUGCAUUAAUAAUCCAUAGUGAGAUUGCAACCUCACCGCUAUCAGAAUGUACCAAGACAAGCUUAUUCAAUCUACAAGUUCAUGAUAUUCUAUCAAUAAAUCCAGUUUGUUCUACAAUUUCUCAGUACCAAGCAUAAGUUUUCAAGCAAUCAAUUUCAUGCCACAGGUACCAAUGUUCGAAGCCCUCUAGUACAUUUUUUUGAAGGAGUCAUUUGGCAAGAAUCUACCGAAGUGAAGCCUCCUAAAAUACCAAGAAAACAAGAAGUAUAUUUUAUAUGGGCAGCCAAUCCCAUUAUAUGAUAUAACAUUCAGCAUAGGUUGGUUUAGCCAAUCUCUAGAUAGUGCGAAAUGAACGGAUUAUCACACUAUCCGAAAUGAACCAUCUUCAAAUUUAAUAAAUUAAAAGAAAAAGAAUACAUAAUAUUUGAGCCAUGACCGAAUGCUCUUCUAAUAUUUUAUUCUCCUUCAAUCAAUUUUCAAAAUGGAAAAUAGAACAUUAUCAUGAGAAUAUGAAAGUAUAAAUUACUAGAAGCCAAGUAGAGUUAAAAUUCAAAACUAAAAUUGUCAACUUAUCUUGAAACAAAUAAUAGAUAAUUAGAUAUAGACUUACACAGGGCAGUGAU